This 244-nucleotide unclassified non-coding RNA is filed under the name Chaetothyriales sp. RNAcentral describes it as "partial contains 5.8S ribosomal RNA, internal transcribed spacer 2, and large subunit ribosomal RNA". Lineage: Eukaryota; Fungi; Ascomycota; Eurotiomycetes; Chaetothyriales. The record is from RNAcentral.
CGCACAUUGCGCCCUUUGGUAUUCCGAAGGGCAUGUCUGUCCGAGCGUCAUUAUCAACCCUCAAGUUUAGGCUUGGUUUUGAAGUUUGAGAUGAGAAUUUCAACUUCUAAAGAAAAUGGUGGUUGUCUGAACAAACCCAGUACAAUGAGUCUUCAUGGCACGUAUUGAGGUGACUUUGGACAUUGCCUUACAACAAAUCUUCAAGGUUGACCUCGGAUCAGAUAGGGAUACCCGCUGAACUUAA